GGCGCACGGGUGCGUAACGCGUAUGCAACCUACCUUUUACUGGGAGAUAGCCCGGAGAAAUUCGGAUUAAUCCCCCAUAGUACUAUUUAGCUGCAUGGUUAGAUAGUUAAAGCAUUGCGGUAUAAGAUGGGCAUGCGUCCUAUUAGCUAGAUGGUGAGGUAACGGCUCACCAUGGCUACGAUAGGUAGGGGGCCUGAGAGGGUGGUCCCCCACACUGGUACUGAGACACGGACCAGACUCCUACGGGAGGCAGCAGUGAGGAAUAUUGGUCAAUGGGCGCAAGCCUGAACCAGCCAUGCCGCGUGCAGGAAGAAUGCCCUUGGGUUGUAAACUGCUUUUAUUUGGGAAUAAACCUCUUUACGUGUAGAGAGCUGAAGGUACCAAAUGAAUAAGCACCGGCUAACUCCGUGCCAGCAGCCGCGGUAAUACGGAGGGUGCAAGCGUUAUCCGGAAUCAUUGGGUUUAAAGGGUCCGCAGGCGGACUUAUAAGUCAGUGGUGAAAUCCUAUCGCUUAACGAUAGAACUGCCAUUGAUACUGUAAGUCUUGAAUUCGGUCGGAGUGGGCGGAAUGUGUAGUGUAGCGGUGAAAUGCAUAGAUAUUACACAGAACACCGAUAGCGAAGGCAGCUCACUAGGCCUGAAUUGACGCUCAGGGACGAAAGCGUGGGGAUCAAACAGGAUUAGAUACCCUGGUAGUCCACGCUGUAAACGAUGAUUACUCGUUUUCGGCGAUAUACAGUCGGAGACUAAGCGAAAGUGAUAAGUAAUCCACCUGGGGAGUACGAUCGCAAGGUUGAAACUCAAAGGAAUUGACGGGGGCCCGCACAAG
This 829-nucleotide ribosomal RNA is filed under the name uncultured bacterium. RNAcentral's name for it is "bacterial SSU rRNA". It matches the Rfam family "Bacterial small subunit ribosomal RNA", at positions 97 to 929 of the family's 1533-position model. The record is from RNAcentral.